UUGGGAUCGGUUCGAUUCUUCGAAUUCGAGUUUUUUGCCCAACCCUAAAUAGUGACAUGAAAAUCAAAUAGCAUCAUAUUUAAAAAAAAAAAAAUACACCCGCACGGGCGUGCGGGUCAAAAUCUAAGACCAGCUCCAUCGCUGGCUUUUAAGAAGUUCAUAGCCCAGCCUCUUACGCGGUUUUGAUUAGAAUAUUAAUAUAAUGUUGCAUUUUCGGUAGAGGCACCUCUUAUUUAAAGAUUUUUAGAGGUUAGUCCUAAACGACGUGGCAAGCUGUAACUGGUUCUCCCUUUGCUCUAGUCUCGUUUGGCAACAAAAAAUCCUAUCAUUUUACGCGAGAGAAAGAAAAAAAAACUUCAGAGGGAGAUUUUGUGCGAUUCGGUAUCAUUGCUCUAAGGUAAAUCGAUUUCCACAUGCUUAAUCCGAGUUGUUUAGGGUUCGAUUUAUGGAUUUCUACUUGUUCCAUGUUGUUUUUCUCUCACUUUUGUGGUCGAUUUUGGGUUUAAAAUCGAUUUGGGGAUCGAUUUGAAAUUAGGGUUUUCGUUAGGAUUCGAAGACGAAUUGGGAUACGAUUUGUGUUUCCGAUAUGGAUGUUUUAGAGAUCAAUUUCAGGUUUAAAAUCAAGUUAGGGAUUGAUUGUUGUUUCUGAUUGUCGUUGUGUUCUUUUUUGAUUAUGUCAACUUGUUUGCUUAUGUUUUUCAAUCGAGCAACUAAAAAUGAGUUUCCUCCUAGUUGUUUGGUUAAUUGACUGAAUUAAUUACAUUUUGAAGAUCAUGGAUCCUAAUGAAGAGAGGAGAUCUAUGAAGGCGCAAAAGGCCCUCUUCGAUAGCCUACAUUUGUAACUGACUCGAUGCAAGGAAUUCAAGAACGGUGUGUAUGUGGGAAACGCUUAGUGCGCGAGAGAGCUCCAGCAGAAGUCUUUGACUACCUACCCGGGAAGAGGUUCUUCACAUGUAAGGAGUACAAAGAUGAUGGCAUGCAUUACAGGCAGCCGUGGGUCUGUGCAGUGGAGGAGGAGCUACAGAUGAUGAAAACGCGGCUGGAAAAAUGUGAAGAGCAUAAAUCCCUGGUGGAAAAGCUGGAAGUCGAGAAUCAGGAGCUGAAGGUGAGUUGCCUUCUAUCUUUCGUUUAAGAUUUAGGUUAUGUGUCUGGUUAUACUUCAAAAUGUUAACAAAUGUUUUAAAUUUUGCAGGCAGAGAUGGAGAAGCUCAUAGCCCGAGUGUCCGAGCUUGAGUAUGCCGCAUAAGGUGAGUUCAUAAAUCUUUUAAGAGUUUUUGAACGUUCUCUAUUUCUAAAGUUCUCGCAUCAGUAACUUCAGUUUCAGAACUCUCUCUAUUUCGACUUCAUUUCUAACUUUCAAGUUUCUAAACAUUAACUUUUUAUUUCAUUUCAAACUUUCUAGUUUGAACUAGUUUAAAUCCAGUGGUUUUAAUUGUUUCUGAGUCUUAACUGAGUCUUAUUAAUGCAGAUUUGACUGGUUUUAAACUUUAGUGGUUUAAUGAAAAUCUUCCUAACUGCAUUGAGUUGAUAGGUCUUUAAAGGUCUAUGUAAACUUUCCUAGGGUGGUGGUUAGGAUUAGGUUAGAUAGUACAUACAUCAUUUAAGCAAGAACACUACUUAAAUUGACCUAAACACACAGACUAACCAAACACAGAAACUACCCAAAACCCACAAACUUAGAAAAUGGCAUCGUACUAUCCAGGGUUUGUUAACCUACUAACAAGCCAAACCGGAGAAUCUAGCACUCCAGAGUUUGUGAACCUCUCUGGUUCUCAAUCCAUAGACGUGGACUCACCUGAUCUUCCAGCUUUUAGCAGCCACUCUGCAGAAGCAUCUACUGUCAAGGAGAGGAAGAAAUGGUCUCCGAAGGAGGAUGUUAUUCUCAUAAGUUCUUGGCUCAACACCAACAAAGAUCCCAUAAUAGGGAAUGAGUAAAAGUGUGGAACUUUUUGGAAAAGGAUCCGGGAUUACUACAACUCAAGUGUUCAGCAUGCUGGGUUGGAGCCUAGGGAGCUAGGUCAGUGCAAGCAAAGGUGGGGAAGGCUUAAUGACCUAGUCUGCAAAUUCUGUGGUUCUUAUGAUGCGGCUUUGAGGGUUCAAUCAAGCGGUGCGAAUGACAAUGAUGUGAUGAAGAAAGCACUAGACAUGUUCUUCAAUGACUAUGGUUGUAAGUUCAAUUUAGAGCAUGCUUGGAGAUACCAUAGGGCAAGUUCAAUUCAUCGUCAACGGUCACAAAUACCAUAGGGCCUACUACCUCACCGACGGUAUAUAUCCAAAGUGGCCUACCAUUAUCCAAUCCAUCUCUAUUCCUCAAGGUCCUAAGGCGGAGUUAUUUGCACAAUGUCAAGAAGCCGCCAGAAAAGAUGUCGAGCGGGCUUUCGGAGUCUUGCAAGCUCGUUUUGCAAUUGUUAGAAACCCGGCUCUUCUUUGGAACAAGGAAAAAAUCAGCAACAUUAUCAGAACAUGUAUCAUCCUACACAAUAUGAUAGUGGAAGAUGAACGAGACGGAUACAGUCAAUUUGAUACAUCUAUAUUCGUAGAAGGAGAAACAAGCAGAAGUUCAGAGGUGGAUUUCUCGUUCUCUACAAACAUGCCUACGAAUCUCGGUAAUAUGCUUGCCAUUCGGAGUGAACUUCGCGACCAAAUGAUACAUGAACGAUUGAAGAACGAUUUAAUUGAGAAUAUAUUUGCACAAUUUGGUCAUCAACAAUCAUAAUUAUUGUAUGUUUAAUAUUUGUUUUUCAAUAAAUAAAAUUUUAUUUUCCAUAAAUUUAGUAAUAUUAUUUUAUUUUUAAGAACUUCACUUUGGAGUUCGCCAAUGGACACCCAAAAAAAGUGAAAGUCCUUAACUUUUCAAAAUUAAUUAAAAUAAUUAAAACAAAAUGCUAAGAACCAUACUUAGAGGUUCACCAAUGGAGUUGCUCUCAUAUAACCUUAAACCAGUAAAAUUGUUUUGUUUGUUCGUAUAUUAAAAGACAUAUAAGCACCAAUACUAAGUGCCUUUAUAUUAUGUACUUUCUUAAGAUGUUUUCAACCCGAAAAUUAUUCUUUUUCAACAGCACCAAAAAUUACAUUUAGUCAAUUUAGUAUAGACAUACACGAGUGAUAAAAUCGUGUUUCGUCGAUAGUACUAACCCUUAUGAUCUUCAUUCUCUAUUGUAUAUGUACCUGCAAUUCACUAUGUUCUUGGUCACCUUCACAAAUCGUAAAGUGAUCCAUAUAUAAAGCAGUUAAUUAGCUAACUUCGACGCUUUGUCACCUAUACACAGUAACAACUAAAAGUUAUUAUCCUUUCACUAACACAACACUAAUCAAAAUGUGGGCUCUAUCGAGAAUACAUUCAAACUCUGGCACUUUCUCCAUGUAUUGAGGGAUAAAGUGUGAUAUUCAAUGCGAGAGAAAUGGUGCAAAUGAGGAGACGAUAAAUUAUGUAUUUUUGUAUGUCUUCUAGCGGUACAUGUUUGGGUUCUAUCGAAAAUACACUCAAAUCAUGGCACUUUCCCCAUACUUUCGGUGUUUGUUAAUAUAGAUUACUUAUUCUGGUGAAUAUCAAACUAUGUGAAUGAUCAUCAUUUCGCAUAGAAUCAAUAGUACAUUUGGAAGGUAAGGGAUGAUAAAAUCUUUAAUGAUAAUGACAGAGAUCCCAUGGAUAUUUUGCAAUUGGCAUAAACAGAGUCAUGACCACAAGCUCAGGUUGCAUCACAUAAAAAUAUAACACAAGGUUCCACUACAAAAGAUGACGAAAAUGAAAUAUUCGUCACACGAAAACAGAAAAAUGG
This is a long non-coding RNA of Brassica rapa (field mustard), 3779 nucleotides long. RefSeq lists it as uncharacterized. The record is from RefSeq and is a predicted model, not a curated record. Lineage: Eukaryota; Viridiplantae; Streptophyta; Magnoliopsida; Brassicales; Brassicaceae.